ACUACUACUAGCACCAUCAUGCACAACACUACAUCUCUCACCUCUGUUUGGAUUACUCUCACCACCAUAGCUUUCAAAAAGCUUCAACAACAACUUUUUAAUGUUAACUCUCAAUUCAUCAACCUUUCUAGUAUCAUACAAGCUACUAAAACACCAUAUAACAAAGUCAAGGUUGUAGCAAGGAUCAAGCACAUUUGCCACAAUCAACAACAGGUUAACCUUUUCAAAAGAAUGACCCCAAUACUUGACAAACUUUUCCUCCAUCUUGUAACCCAUUUGAUUUAACAAAAAAUCAUUAAAAUCAACAAGUGAC
This 313-nucleotide long non-coding RNA is filed under the name Citrus sinensis (sweet orange). Its description in RNAcentral is "long non-coding RNA (CSIN_LNC005084)". The record is from RNAcentral. Lineage: Eukaryota; Viridiplantae; Streptophyta; Magnoliopsida; Sapindales; Rutaceae.